UUAGCGCUGGUUCUCAGUGGCGGGAGGCUGCUGAGAGGACGAGGAAGAGGUUGUCGAGAAGGUCAGCGGAUGCCUCUCGGCCGGCCCGGUCGAAAGAAACCAGACAAAACCGGAAAGUGAUUUCCGGGACAAAGCUGG
RNAcentral lists this non-coding RNA (138 nucleotides) under bovine gut metagenome. RNAcentral describes it as "glmS glucosamine-6-phosphate activated ribozyme". It matches the Rfam family "glmS glucosamine-6-phosphate activated ribozyme aptamer", at positions 11 to 153 of the family's 167-position model. From Rfam's summary of the family: This entry contains a glucosamine-6-phosphate activated ribozyme that is found in the mRNA for GlmS. GlmS is an enzyme that uses fructose-6-phosphate and glutamine to generate glucosamine-6-phosphate. The record is from RNAcentral.